UACGUAGGUGACAAGCGUUGUCCGGAUUUACUGGGCGUAAAGAGCGCGCAGGCGGUCGAUCAAGUCGAGUGUGAAAGCCCCCGGCUCAACUGGGGAGGGUCAUUCGAUACUGAUCGACUCGAAGGCAGGAGAGGGUAGUGGAAUUCCCGGUGUAGUGGUGAAAUGCGUAGAUAUCGGGAGGAACACCAGUGGCGAAGGCGGCAUCCUGGACCGAGAUUGACGCUGAUGCGCGAAAGCCAGGGGAGCAAACGGG
RNAcentral lists this ribosomal RNA (253 nucleotides) under uncultured bacterium. RNAcentral's name for it is "partial 16S ribosomal RNA". It matches the Rfam family "Bacterial small subunit ribosomal RNA", at positions 524 to 776 of the family's 1533-position model. The record is from RNAcentral.